Molecule: small nuclear RNA, 163 nt
Organism: Kogia breviceps (pygmy sperm whale)
Lineage: Eukaryota; Metazoa; Chordata; Mammalia; Artiodactyla; Physeteridae
Product: U1 spliceosomal RNA
Exons: 1
Source: RefSeq, a predicted model, not a curated record
ACACUUACCUGGCAGGGGAGUUACCAUGAUUGAAAAGGUGGUUUUCCCCAGGGUGAGGCUUAUCCAUCGCACUCUGGAUCUACCCACCCCCGCGAUUUCCCCAAAUGUGGGAAACUCGACCGCAUAAUUCGUGGUGGGGGGGGACCGUGUUUGCGUUCUCAAC